Molecule: long non-coding RNA, 547 nt
Organism: Dermacentor andersoni
Lineage: Eukaryota; Metazoa; Arthropoda; Arachnida; Ixodida; Ixodidae
Source: RefSeq, a predicted model, not a curated record
GCCUAGGUACUACGGGAAAGAAAGCUGUUAGCUCUGUUUGUCCCUAGCCGAGCUUGCAGCACAGAAUCGACAGGAUGCGUGGGCGGCAAGACGAAAAAGCCGCGUCCGAGAUCCGUAAUGUCGGAUAGCUGCUCUGUGACCGAUGAAGAACAGCGUGCCCGUGAGGAUCACCUUUGCAAACAGAAGCAGGAGUGGGCACGAAAGCAUCGGCGACCAAUUGCAGUAUAUCACAGUGACCACAAAGCAAUGGUUACCAUGGUGACAAAGUGGAAAAGGAAAGUAUCAGCAACGUUCUCACACCUACACUGUCCUUAUUGGGACACAAACUGACUGCUGUUACUGAACAGCGCUCCGUGGCAUUCAAGUGAAGAAUGAUCUUGAUCGUCACUUAUACGAAUAAUCAUUCGGUUGUAUGGCUGGGAUUCCUAGGUCAUGUGAAUUGCAGUGGAGCUACUUAGUGUAGUGACUGACUUGGGGCUGCUCAGUAGUCUUUUUUUUUUUGAUGCCACUCUAAUGUCCGCCAAAUAAAAGAAAAUGUUUCUUUCUA